This 515-nucleotide ribosomal RNA is filed under the name uncultured bacterium. RNAcentral describes it as "bacterial SSU rRNA". It matches the Rfam family "Bacterial small subunit ribosomal RNA", at positions 26 to 518 of the family's 1533-position model. The record is from RNAcentral.
AGAACGAACGCUGGUAGCGUGGGAUUAGGCAUGCAAGUCGAACGGGAGUCCGGGAGGUAGCAAUACUUCCUGGUGAGAGUGGCGGAUUGGGGAGGAACACGUGAGCAACCUGCCUUGGAGUCGGGGAAAACCGUUGGAAACGACGGCUAAUACCGGAUGUGGCGCCCGGAGACAUCUUCGGAGCGCUAAAGGGGGCCGCAAGGCUCUCGCUCGUAGAGGGGCUCGCGCACCAUCAGCUUGUUGGCGGGGUAACGGCCCACCAAGGCCUACGGUUAGCUGGUCUGAGAGGAUGACCAGCCCCACUGGGACUGAGAUACUGCCCAGACUCCUACGGGAGGCUGCAGUCGAGGAUCAUUUGCAAUGGGCGAAAGCCUGACAAUGCGACGCUGCGUGGAGGAUGAAGGCCUUCGGGUUGUAAACUCCUGUCAUGGGGGAACAGGCGAGGAAACCUAAUACGUUUCUUAGUUGAGUGUACCCCAAGAGGAAUUGGCGGCUAACUCUGUGCCAGCCGCCGC